Molecule: ribosomal RNA, 250 nt
Filed under: Funneliformis mosseae
Lineage: Eukaryota; Fungi; Glomeromycota; Glomeromycetes; Glomerales; Glomeraceae
Description: partial small subunit ribosomal RNA
Rfam family: Eukaryotic small subunit ribosomal RNA
Source: RNAcentral
UUUGGAGGGCAAGUCUGGUGCCAGCAGCCGCGGUAAUUCCAGCUCCAAUAGCGUAUAUUAAAGUUGUUGCAGUUAAAAAGCUCGUAGUUGAAUUUCGGGAUCAAUAUUUCGGUCAUGCCGUUGGUAUGCACUGUUAUCAUUGAUUUCUCACCUUCUAAAGAACCGUAAUGCCCAUUAAUUUGGUGUUACGGGGAAUUAGGACUGUUACCUUGAAAAAAUUAGAGUGUUUAAAGCAGGACAAUUUAUUUAC